GCUGUUGAAGACCCAUGGGCAUGACUGCACCCCUCACUAAUUGGUCACUGGUUUGGGGAGGACACCACUGUCCCAGUGGAACCUUGAGCACACCUUGGGGCCCUCCUCUUCCUCUCCGGACCUGUGCCAAACUGCCAUCCUGCAGCCACCAGAACCUUCCACAUGAAAUGAAAGGCUCACCACUUCAUAGGCUUUAAGGAAAUUCUUGGCCAGGUGUGGUGCCUCACUGCUGUAAUCCCAGUGCUUUAAGAGGCCAAGAUGGGAGGAUUGCUUAAGCCAGGUGUUUGAGACCAGCCUGGGCAACAUAGUAA
Molecule: non-coding RNA, 311 nt
Filed under: Pongo abelii (Sumatran orangutan)
Lineage: Eukaryota; Metazoa; Chordata; Mammalia; Primates; Hominidae
Source: RNAcentral